CUACGGGCGGCUGCAGUGAGGAAUAUUGCACAAUGGGGGGAACCCUGAUGCAGCAACGCCGCGUGGAGGAUGACGCAUUUCGGUGUGUAAACUCCUUUUAUAUGUCAAGAAAAUGACGGUAGCAUAUGAAUAAGCACCGGCUAACUCCGUGCCAGCAGCCGCGGUAAUACGGAGGGUGCAAGCGUUACUCGGAAUCACUGGGCGUAAAGGACGCGUAGGCGGGAUGGAAAGUCAGGUGUGAAAUCCUACAGCUUAACUGUAGAACUGCACUUGAAACUGGUAAACUAGAGUAUGGGAGGGGGAGAUGGAAUUAGUGGUGUAGGGGUAAUAUCCGUAGAUAUCACUAGGAAUACCUAAAGCGAAGGCGAUCUCCUGGAACAUAACUGACGCUAAGGCGUGAAAGCGUGGGGAGCAAACAGGAUUAGAUACCCGCGUAGUC
Molecule: ribosomal RNA, 439 nt
Filed under: uncultured bacterium
Lineage: Bacteria
Description: partial 16S ribosomal RNA
Rfam family: Bacterial small subunit ribosomal RNA
Source: RNAcentral